AACGAACGCUGGCGGCAUGCCUAACACAUGCAAGUCGAACGAGACCUUCGGGUCUAGUGGCGCACGGGUGCGUAACGCGUGGGAACCUGCCCUUAGGUUCGGAAUAACUCCCCGAAAGGGGUGCUAAUACCGGAUAAUGUCUUCGGACCAAAGAUUUAUGGCCUUUGGAUGGGCCCGCGUUGGAUUAGCUAGUUGGUAGGGUAAAAGCCUACCAAGGCGACGAUCCAUAGCUGGUCUGAGAGGAUGAUCAGCCACACUGGGACUGAGACACGGCCCAGACUCCUACGGAAGGCAGCAGUGGGGAAUAUUGGACAAUGGGCGAAAGCCUGAUCAAGCAAUGCCGCGUGAGUGAUGAAGGCCUUAGGGUUGUAAAGCUCUUUUAACCGGGAUGAUAAUGACAGUACCGGGAGAAUAAGCUCCGGCUAACUCCGUG
RNAcentral lists this ribosomal RNA (433 nucleotides) under uncultured bacterium. RNAcentral's name for it is "partial 16S ribosomal RNA". It matches the Rfam family "Bacterial small subunit ribosomal RNA", at positions 29 to 507 of the family's 1533-position model. The record is from RNAcentral.